AAAGAGGACUUACAGAAAGAACUGAAGUAGUUGAAGGGGUUUGCCAUCCUAUAAGAACAAUAUCAACCAACCAAACCCCUGCCCUCGAUCUUCCAUGGACUAAACAACCAUCCAAAGACUACACAAGGAUGAGCCUAUGGCUCCAUCUGCAUAUGAAGCAGAGGAUAUCCUUUUCAGGCACCAAUGGGAGCAAAUGCCCUUGGUCCUGUCAAGGCUUGAUGCCCCAGUGUAGGGAACUCUCAGAAUGGGCAGGUUGGAAGGAGUGAGUGGGUGAGUGAGGAACUGCCCUCAGAACAGGAGGCAUGAGGGGAAAUAAUAGCUGGUUUCUGGAGGGCAAAUCAGGAAAAUCAUAUUUAAAAUGUGAAUUAAAAAAAAUCCCCUCCCCCAAUGAAAGAAAAAGAAAGAGAAAUGGAGAAAGAAAAAGAAAAACAAAUGGGGGUACAUAACUAAACAGAUGCCCACUGGGGAUGCGACAGCGUUAUUCCCAUGAUAGUCAAGCAUCUUCUGGGAAACCAAAGUCUUUGGGUUCUGGGGGGAGUAUGGUUGCAAAGCUGAAACUUAAAGGAAUGGACAGAAGGGCACCACUAGGAGUGGAGCCUGCAGCUUAAUUUGACUCAACACAGGAAACCUCACCGGGCCCGGACACAGACAGGAUUGACAGAUUGAUAGCUCUUUCUCGAUUCCGUGGGUGGUGGUGCAUGGCCGUUCUUAGAUGGUGGAGCGAUAUGUCUGGUUAAUUCCGAUAACGAACUAGACUCUGGCAUGCUAACUAGUUACACGACCCCCUGAGCGGUCGGCGUCCCCCAACUUCUUAGAGGGACAAGUGGCGUUCAGCCACCCGAGAUUGAGCAAUAACAGGUCUGUGAUUCCCUUAGAUGUCCGGGGCUGCAUUAGCGGCACACUGACUGGCUCAGUGUGUGCCUACCCUACAAAGUCAGGCGCGGGUAUCCCAUUGAACCUCAUUCGUGAUGGAGAUCGGGGAUUGCAAUUAUUCUCCAUGAACGAGGAAUUCCCAGUAAGUGCUGGUCAUAAGCUUGCGUUGAUUAAGUCCCUGCCCUUUGUAUACACCACCCUUCCCUACUACCAAUUGGAUGGUUUAGUGGGGCCUGAUCGGCCCAUGGCCCUGUUGGAGGGCUGAGAAGAAGGUCGAACUUGACUGUCUAGAGGAAGUAAAAGUUGUAACAAGGUUUCUGUAGGUGAACCGGUGGAAG
RNAcentral lists this ribosomal RNA (1211 nucleotides) under Rattus norvegicus (Norway rat). RNAcentral describes it as "bacterial SSU rRNA". The stretch from base 315 to 1211 matches the Rfam family "Eukaryotic small subunit ribosomal RNA". The record is from RNAcentral. Lineage: Eukaryota; Metazoa; Chordata; Mammalia; Rodentia; Muridae.